RNAcentral lists this unclassified non-coding RNA (496 nucleotides) under Trypanosoma kuseli. The record is from RNAcentral. Lineage: Eukaryota; Euglenozoa; Kinetoplastea; Trypanosomatida; Trypanosomatidae.
AACAAAAAAACCUUGCAUCAUCAUGUAUCAUAUAAAAUAUGUGUACGUGUGUGUGUGGGGGAAAUAUCUGAAAAAAAGAGAGCCCUUGGGGAUUACGGAUGAAGCAUCAUAUUUUUUUAAUGUAUAAAAGUGUGUGCAUGAUCCGCUCCGGCGUUUGUGCGUGUUCUCCAUUUUUUUUAGAUUCUUGUUUCUUGUUCUUUUGAAUAUAUGAAAUAAUGAGAAUCUAUUAUUUUGGGGAGUGCGCGUGCAAUAACAAACAAAAAAACUCACAGGAGGAAUUAAUUGAAAAAAAAAAAGGGGGGUUUUGGUUGGUUGUGUGGAAAGGUGGAAAAGGUUUUGUGUGUGUGUGUAUUGCGAGAGAGAGAGAGAAAGGUGUGUGGUGGUGUGGUUUAACACGCCUUAAGGUUAAUUAAUUACUCACUUUUCCCAAUUUACACGGGACCAGGGGCAAAAACCCCCCAAACACAACCCGGAGACCUUAAUUUUUUUUUUGUUC